This is a long non-coding RNA of Anopheles arabiensis, 331 nucleotides long. RefSeq lists it as uncharacterized. The transcript is spliced from 3 exons. The record is from RefSeq and is a predicted model, not a curated record. NCBI's taxonomy places the organism in Eukaryota, Metazoa, Arthropoda, Insecta, Diptera, Culicidae.
UGUAGUAUAAGUCAUGUAUGGUUGGAUUCCUGUAGAAGUAAGUGGUCUAGCAAUCUGUGGCCAGACUAUCCGAGUAGAUGACAUUAAUCAAUUAAAACUAUGAAGCUGGAUAUGCUUUAAAGGACUCUCUUACAGAAGGUUUUACAGGUGAACAACAAUUAGCAACUCCCGAUCGAAUUGCACACAACAACCACCCACAAUCACAGCUGUAAAAAGUAACACGGAUAGGUAGCAAGGAAAUCAAGCUUGUACACAGAAAUCUACACAAAAACUGGGUUUUAUAAGCGCACGAAAAGCGACGCGGCUAUCUUUGAAUAAAAAGUAAACAAAA